ACUGCAGCAUAGAAUAUUCAGAGAUGUACUGAUGCUCUCUAGAAUGAAAUGUAAAUAAGUGGACUUCUAAGACAACAGUCCAAAAAUUUUGCCUUUAAGUGAGUAAACUUCUGGAGCUGCAAGCAUAAUCUUUACAGAACUCACUUUCUCAUGAACAUCUGAAGGAGUGCUAAUGAUGCCUCACACAUACAGGAGAUCACUGUAAAAGAUGAGUUUACAGAGAAAUUAUCUGACAGAUAAGCCUCAUAUGUACAGACCUGGAAUACACUAUCCCUUUGGGAUUCUCUUUUUUAAAUUUUCAAAUGGAACUAUUUCUACAUUAAACCUCUCAGGAAAACAUCAGAAAGAAUAUCAAUGCAUGAGUCAACUAGUGCUUUUUGGGGGUCAGAAUAUUUGCAUCCCAAUAUAAAGAGCUUUGAAAAUAAAACUCUUUAUUUACCAAAGCACAAAUACAAUCAGAAACUCCACACCUUUUAGAUGCCUAGUUACAGUUAUGGAAUUCAUAUGCCUGAAAUAAAGGCAGGGCAUUUCCUAAAGAAAUAAUAAAACAUAAAUAUUUCAUUUUCUUCUAUAUGAUCUACAGGUUUCAUACAUUUAAUUUUAAACUCAAUUCUAAAUAAUUAAGCUUGUAAGUUUCUCUAUUGCUUAAGAGAUCAAUUCUGAAUUUAAAUCUGAAAACAGGAUGCAGACAGAUAGUCCUUAGUUAAAGAAAAUGUGACUGAAUACAGGAAAGAAGACUGUCCACUUGUCUGGCCCAGACCUUCACAUCCACCAUAAAAACCUUCCAGGUAGUAGAUUAGAUUGAGCUCAUUGGAGAGUGCUCAGUUUUGGAAAAGCUUCUAUAAAUGGGACAAUGUGUUCAAGAAGAGAGUCUGCAAUAGAAAGGACAAGGAUACACAGCUGGAAACAAAUUUAAAG
Long non-coding RNA from Poecile atricapillus (Black-capped chickadee), 918 nucleotides. RefSeq lists it as uncharacterized. The record is from RefSeq and is a predicted model, not a curated record. NCBI's taxonomy places the organism in Eukaryota, Metazoa, Chordata, Aves, Passeriformes, Paridae. The transcript has 4 exons.